RNAcentral lists this ribosomal RNA (274 nucleotides) under uncultured bacterium. RNAcentral's name for it is "partial small subunit ribosomal RNA". It matches the Rfam family "Bacterial small subunit ribosomal RNA", at positions 26 to 282 of the family's 1533-position model. The record is from RNAcentral.
AGAAUCAACGCUGGCGGCGUGCCUCAGACAUGCAAGUCGAACGCGAAAGUCCCCUUCGGGGGGCAAGUAGAGUGGCGCACGGGUGAGUAACACGUAGGUAAUCUACCUUCGGAUGGGGGAAUAACAAUCGGAAACGGUUGCUAAUACCGCAUAAUGCAGCGGCACCUAAUGGUGACAGUUGUUAAAGCGGGGGAUCGAAAGACCUCGCGUCUGAAGAGGAGCCUGCGGCGGAUUAGCUAGUUGGUAAGGUAAUGGCUUACCAAGGCAACGAUCC